This 85-nucleotide transfer RNA is filed under the name Felis catus (domestic cat). It matches the Rfam family "tRNA". Rfam says of the family: Transfer RNA (tRNA) molecules are approximately 80 nucleotides in length. Their secondary structure includes four short double-helical elements and three loops (D, anti-codon, and T loops). The record is from Rfam by way of RNAcentral. Lineage: Eukaryota; Metazoa; Chordata; Mammalia; Carnivora; Felidae.
GCCUGGGUGGCUCAGUCAGUUAAGCAUCUGACUUCAGCUCAGGUCAUGAUCUCGCGGUUCGUGGGUUCGAGCCCCACAUGGGGCU